UGGUGGAGUGAUUUGUCUGGUUAAUUCCGUUAACGAACGAGACCUUAGCCUGCUAACUAGUCGAUUCAAUCCCGAUUGACUUCGACUUCUUAGAGGGACUUUGUGACUAAACACAAGGAAGUUUGAGGCAAUAACA
Molecule: ribosomal RNA, 136 nt
Filed under: uncultured eukaryote
Lineage: Eukaryota
Description: partial 18S ribosomal RNA
Rfam family: Eukaryotic small subunit ribosomal RNA
Source: RNAcentral